RNAcentral lists this transfer RNA (74 nucleotides) under Crocinitomicaceae bacterium. RNAcentral's name for it is "tRNA-Ile". It matches the Rfam family "tRNA". Rfam says of the family: Transfer RNA (tRNA) molecules are approximately 80 nucleotides in length. Their secondary structure includes four short double-helical elements and three loops (D, anti-codon, and T loops). Further hydrogen bonds mediate the characteristic L-shaped molecular structure. tRNAs have two regions of fundamental functional importance: the anti-codon, which is responsible for specific mRNA codon recognition, and the 3' end, to which the tRNAs corresponding amino acid is attached (by aminoacyl-tRNA synthetases). tRNAs cope with the degeneracy of the genetic code in two manners: having more than one tRNA (with a specific anti-codon) for a particular amino acid; and 'wobble' base-pairing, i.e. permitting non-standard base-pairing at the 3rd anti-codon position. Lineage: Bacteria; Pseudomonadati; Bacteroidota; Flavobacteriia; Flavobacteriales; Crocinitomicaceae. The record is from RNAcentral.
GGUCCUAUAGCUCAGUUGGUUAGAGCACCUGACUCAUAAUCAGGGGGUCCCAGGUUCGAGCCCUGGUGGGACCA